This 405-nucleotide long non-coding RNA is filed under the name Heterocephalus glaber (naked mole-rat). RNAcentral's name for it is "lncRNA (ENSHGLG00100033203.1)". The record is from RNAcentral. Lineage: Eukaryota; Metazoa; Chordata; Mammalia; Rodentia; Bathyergidae.
AGUCCCUGCACAAGUUCUAGGGGACCAAAGAUCAGUCCUUCCACUACCAGCUCAGAAAUCUACAUCAGAACCCCUACUGUCUCCAUCAACCUCAGAAUCAUAAUUCUUGGAAGAAGGAAAUAUUGCCCUUGAGAGGUUUCAGUCCAUUGUUGGCUGGCUCUAAGGCAGGAGCAUCAUGGCUGAAGGGUGUGGUGCUGGUGGCCAGGAAGCAGAGUGGAGGAACAACUAGAGGAAGGGGCCCAGGAGCAGAUAGCCUCUGAGAUCAUACCCCUUGAUGCACCCAGAGGGGCUUGCUGAGCCACUAUGUAGCCCAGGCUAUGCUUGAAAUUGUGAUCCUUCUGCCUCAGCCUCCCAGAGUGCUUGGAUUACAGGUGUGUACCUCUGCAGUCAGUUUGUAACAUGGAC